RNAcentral lists this ribosomal RNA (207 nucleotides) under uncultured bacterium. RNAcentral describes it as "partial 16S ribosomal RNA". It matches the Rfam family "Bacterial small subunit ribosomal RNA", at positions 1294 to 1500 of the family's 1533-position model. The record is from RNAcentral.
CAGAUUGCAGUCUGCAACUCGACUGCAUGAAGUCGGAAUCGCUAGUAAUCGCGGAUCAGCAUGCCGCGGUGAAUACGUUCCCGGGCCUUGUACACACCGCCCGUCACACCAUGAGAGUCGGGAACACCCGAAGUCCGUAGCCUAACCGCAAGGAGGGCGCGGCCGAAGGUGGGUUCGAUAAUUGGGGUGAAGUCGUAACAAGGUAGC